This 243-nucleotide unclassified non-coding RNA is filed under the name Hevea brasiliensis (rubber tree). The record is from RNAcentral. Lineage: Eukaryota; Viridiplantae; Streptophyta; Magnoliopsida; Malpighiales; Euphorbiaceae.
AGAACGCGAUAGUUAAAUCCUAUAUAAGAAGGUUCUAUGAGGAAACGAAGAUCCAUAUCAACACUUAGACAAACCAGCACUAAUCAUUAGGAUCACAAAAUAAGGCCUGCUCCAGCAUGUUUGCUUGAGCAAUGAUUUGCCCAUGGCAAAUUGGGGCUCUAUAAUGGCUUCUUCAUUUAUCUUUUUCUUCUCCAUUACCGUUAUGCUUAAAUGUCCUCGUGUUCAUAUGUUGCUUGUCAUUUU